GGUAAAUCCGGUUCACUUUAACACUGAGGCGUGAUGACGAGGCACUACGGUGCUGAAGCAACAAAUGCCCUGCUUCCAGGAAAAGCCUCUAAGCAUCAGGUAACAUCAAAUCGUACCCCAAACCGACACAGGUGGUCAGGUAGAGAAUACCAAGGCGCUUGAGAGAACUCGGGUGAAGGAACUAGGCAAAAUGGUGCCGUAACUUCGGGAGAAGGCACGCUGACACGUAGGUGAAGUGAUUUACUCAUGGAGCUGAAGUCAGUCGAAGAUACCAGCUGGCUGCAACUGUUUAUUAAAAACACAGCACUGUGCAAACACGAAAGUGGACGUAUACGGUGUGACGCCUGCCCGGUGCCGGAAGGUUAAUUGAUGGGGUCAGCGCAAGCGAAGCUCCUGAUCGAAGCCCCGGUAAACGGCGGCCGUAACUAUAACGGUCCUAAGGUAGCGAAAUUCCUUGUCGGGUAAGUUCCGACCUGCACGAAUGGCGUAAUGAUGGCCAGGCUGUCUCCACCCGAGACUCAGUGAAAUUGAACUCGCUGUGAAGAUGCAGUGUACCCGCGGCAAGACGGAAAGACCCCGUGAACCUUUACUAUAGCUUGACACUGAACAUUGAGCCUUGAUGUGUAGGAUAGGUGGGAGGCUUUGAAGUGUGGACGCCAGUCUGCAUGGAGCCGACCUUGAAAUACCACCCUUUAAUGUUUGAUGUUCUAACGUGGACCCGUGAUCCGGGUUGCGGACAGUGUCUGGUGGGUAGUUUGACUGGGGCGGUCUCCUCCUAAAGAGUAACGGAGGAGCACGAAGGUUGGCUAAUCCUGGUCGGACAUCAGGAGGUUAGUGCAAUGGCAUAAGCCAGCUUGACUGCGAGCGUGACGGCGCGAGCAGGUGCGAAAGCAGGUCAUAGUGAUCCGGUGGUUCUGAAUGGAAGGGCCAUCGCUCAACGGAUAAAAGGUACUCCGGGGAUAACAGGCUGAUACCGCCCAAGAGUUCAUAUCGACGGCGGUGUUUGGCACCUCGAUGUCGGCUCAUCACAUCCUGGGGCUGAAGUAGGUCCCAAGGGUAUGGCUGUUCGCCAUUUAAAGUGGUACGCGAGCUGGGUUUAGAACGUCGUGAGACAGUUCGGUCCCUAUCUGCCGUGGGCGCUGGAGAACUGAGGGGGGCUGCUCCUAGUACGAGAGGACCGGAGUGGACGCAUCACUGGUGUUCGGGUUGUCAUGCCAAUGGCACUGCCCGGUAGCUAAAUGCGGAAGAGAUAAGUGCUGAAAGCAUCUAAGCACGAAACUUGCCCCGAGAUGAGUUCUCCCUGAGACUUUAGGUCUCCUGAAGGAACGUUGAAGACGACGACGUUGAUAGGCCGGGUGUGUAAGCGCAGCGAUGCGUUGAGCUAACCGGUACUAAUGAACCGUGAGGCUUAACCUUACA
This 1419-nucleotide ribosomal RNA is filed under the name Salmonella enterica. Its description in RNAcentral is "partial 23S ribosomal RNA". It matches the Rfam family "Bacterial large subunit ribosomal RNA", at positions 1535 to 2925 of the family's 2925-position model. The record is from RNAcentral. Lineage: Bacteria; Pseudomonadati; Pseudomonadota; Gammaproteobacteria; Enterobacterales; Enterobacteriaceae.